GACGAACGCUGGCGGCGUGCUUAACACAUGCAAGUCGAACGAAGAGCGAUGGAAGCUUGCUUCUAUCAAUCUUAGUGGCGAACGGGUGAGUAACGCGUAAUCAACCUGCCCUUCAGAGGGGGACAACAGUUGGAAACGACUGCUAAUGCCGCAUACGAUCUGACCUCGGCAUCGAGGAUAGAUGAAAGGUGGCCUCUAUUUAUAAGCUAUCACUGAAGGAGGGGAUUGCGUCUGAUUAGCUAGUUGGAGGGGUAACGGCCCACCAAGGCGAUGAUCAGUAGGCGGACUGGAGGGAUGGACGGCCCACUUUGGAAUGGAGCACCGCCCAGAACCCUUCGGGGGGGAGCAGGUGGGAAACUUCCGACAAGGGCGAAAAGCUGGAGGAGCAACGCCGGGGGGGUGAUGGAGGCCUUCCGGUUGGAAAGCUCCGUUUGUCAGGGAGAAAGGCCUUCUUGCGAAUAGGUUGAAGGAUUGACGGUACCGGACCAGAAAGCCACGGCUAACUACGUG
RNAcentral lists this ribosomal RNA (510 nucleotides) under uncultured bacterium. RNAcentral's name for it is "partial 16S ribosomal RNA". It matches the Rfam family "Bacterial small subunit ribosomal RNA", at positions 28 to 507 of the family's 1533-position model. The record is from RNAcentral.